UCCUGCCAGAGGUCACUGCUAUCGGGGUUCGAUUAAGCCAUGCGAGUCGAGAGGGUUCGGCCCUCGGCGUACUGCUCAGUAACACGUGGAUAACCUGCCCUAGGGAAGGGGAUAACCCCGGGAAACUGGGGAUAAUACCCUAUAGGUUACAGAUGCUGGAAUGCCCUGUAACCCAAAGUUCCGACGCCCUAGGAUGGAUCUGCGGCCGAUUAGGUUGUUGUUGGGGUAAUGGCCCAACAAGCCCGUAAUCGGUACGGGUUGUGGGAGCAAGGGAUACUGGCAAUCUUGGAACCGGGAGAGGUGAGGGGUACUUCGGGGGUAGGAGUGAAAUCCUGUAAUCCUCGAGGGACCACCUGUGGCGAAGGCGCCUCACCAGAACGGCUUCGACAGUGAGGGACGAAAGCUGGGGGAGCAAACCGGAUUAGAUACCCGGGUAGUCCCAGCCGUAAACUAUGCGCGUUAGGUGUAUCGGUGACCACGAGUUACCGAGGUGCCGAAGGGAAACCGUGAAACGUGCCGCCUGGGAAGUACGGUCGCAAGGCUGAAACUUAAAGGAAUUGGCGGGGGAGCACCACAACAGGUGGAGCCUGCGGUUUAAUUGGACUCAACGCCGGGAAGCUCACCGGAUAAGACAGCAGAAUGAUUGCCGGGCUGAAGACUCUGCAUGACUAGCUGAGAGGAGGUGCAUGGCCGUCGUCAGUUCGUACUGUGAAGCA
RNAcentral lists this ribosomal RNA (716 nucleotides) under Methanoculleus sp. MAB2. RNAcentral describes it as "bacterial SSU rRNA". It matches the Rfam family "Archaeal small subunit ribosomal RNA", at positions 12 to 1023 of the family's 1478-position model. Lineage: Archaea; Methanobacteriati; Methanobacteriota; Methanomicrobia; Methanomicrobiales; Methanomicrobiaceae. The record is from RNAcentral.